GAUUAGAGUUUGAUCAUGGCUCAGAUUGAACGCUGGCGGCAUGCCUAACACAUGCAAGUCGAGCGGUAAGAAAGCACUUCGGUGUGAGUAGAGCGGCGGACGGGUGAGUAACGCGUAGGAAUCUGCCUAGUAGUGGGGGAUAACUUGUGGAAACGCAAGCUAAUACCGCAUACGCCCUACGGGGGAAAGAAGGCCUCUUCUUGAAAGCUUUCACUAUUAGAUGAGCCUGCGUUGGAUUAGCUAGUUGGUAGGGUAAAGGCCUACCAAGGCGACGAUCCGUAGCUGGUCUGAGAGGAUGAUCAGCCACACUGGGACUGAGACACGGCCCAGACUCCUACGGGAGGCAGCAGUGGGGAAUAUUGGACAAUGGGGGCAACCCUGAUCCAGCCAUGCCGCGUGUGUGAAGAAGGCCUUAGGGUUGUAAAGCACUUUCAGUAGGGAGGAAAAGUUAGUCGUUAAUAACGGCUAACCCUGACGUUACCUACAGAAGAAGCACCGGCAAACUCCGUGCCAGCAGCCGCGGUAAUACGGAGGGUGCGAGCGUUAAUCGGAAUUACUGGGCGUAAAGCGCGCGUAGGCGGUUAGUUAAGUUAGAUGUGAAAGCCCCGGGCUCAACCUGGGAACUGCAUUUAAAACUGGCUAACUAGAGUAUGGUAGAGGAGAGUGGAAUUUCAGGUGUAGCGGUGAAAUGCGUAGAUAUCUGAAGGAACACCAGUGGCGAAGGCGGCUCUCUGGACCAAUACUGACGCUGAGGUGCGAAAGCGUGGGUAGCAAACGGGAUUAGAUACCCCGGUAGUCCACGCCGUAAACGAUGUCAACACUAACUGUUGGGCGGGUUUCCGCUUAGUGGUGCAGCUAACGCAAUAAGUUGACCGCCUGGGGAGUACGGCCGCAAGGCUAAAACUCAAAUGAAUUGACGGGGGCCCGCACAAGCGGUGGAGCAUGUGGUUUAAUUCGAUGCAACGCGAAGAACCUUACCUGGUCUUGACAUCCUGUGAAUCCUGUAGAAAUAGUUUAGUGCCUUCGGGAACGCAGUGACAGGUGCUACAUGGCUGUCGUCAGCUCGUGUCGUGAGAUGUUGGGUUAAGUCCCAUAACGAGCGCAACCCUUGUCCUUAGUUGCCAGCGCGUAAUGGCGGGGACUCUAAGGAGACUGCCGGUGAUAAACCGGAGGAAGGUGGGGACGACGUCAAGUCAUCAUGGCCCUUAUGAGUAGGGCUACACACGUGCUACAAUGGUCGGUACAGAGGGUUGCCAAACCGCGAGGUGGAGCGAAUCCCUUAAAGCCGAUCGUAGUCCGGAUCGCAGUCUGCAACUCGACUGCGUGAAGUUGGAAUCGCUAGUAAUCGCGAAUCAGCCAUGUCGCGGUGAAUACGUUCCCGGGUCUUGUACACACCGCCCGUCACACCAUGGGAGUUGACUGCACCAGAAGUGGGUAGCCUAACCGCAAGGAGGGCGCUUACCACGGUGUGCUUCAUGACUGGGGUGAAGUCGUAACAAGGUAGCCGUAGGU
This 1512-nucleotide ribosomal RNA is filed under the name uncultured prokaryote. RNAcentral describes it as "partial 16S ribosomal RNA". It matches the Rfam family "Bacterial small subunit ribosomal RNA". The record is from RNAcentral.